AGAGUUUGAUCCUGGCUCAGGACGAACGCUGGCGGCGUGCUUAACACAUGCAAGUCGAACGGAAAGGUCUCUUCGGAGAUACUCGAGUGGCGAACGGGUGAGUAACACGUGGGUGAUCUGCCCUGCACUUCGGGAUAAGCCUGGGAAACUGGGUCUAAUACCGAAUAGGACCACGGGAUUCAUGUCCUGUGGUGGAAAGCGCUUUAGCGGUGUGGGAUGAGCCCGCGGCCUAUCAGCUUGUUGGUGGGGUGACGGCCUACCAAGGCGACGACGGGUAGCCGGCCUGAGAGGGUGUCCGGCCACACUGGGACUGAGAUACGGCCCAGACUCCUACGGGAGGCAGCAGUGGGGAAUAUUGCACAAUGGGCGCAAGCCUGAUGCAGCGACGCCGCGUGGGGGAUGACGGCCUUCGGGUUGUAAACCUCUUUCACCAUCGACGAAGGUCCGGGAUUUCUCGGAUUGACGGUAGGUGGAGAAGAAGCACCGGCCAACUACGUGCCAGCAGCCGCGGUAAUACGUAGGGUGCGAGCGUUGUCCGGAAUUACUGGGCGUAAAGAGCUCGUAGGUGGUUUGUCGCGUUGUUCGUGAAAUCUCACGGCUUAACUGUGAGCGUGCGGGCGAUACGGGCAGACUAGAGUACUGCAGGGGAGACUGGAAUUCCUGGUGUAGCGGUGGAAUGCGCAGAUAUCAGGAGGAACACCGGUGGCGAAGGCGGGUCUCUGGGCAGUAACUGACGCUGAGGAGCGAAAGCGUGGGGAGCGAACAGGAUUAGAUACCCUGGUAGUCC
RNAcentral lists this ribosomal RNA (787 nucleotides) under uncultured bacterium. RNAcentral describes it as "bacterial SSU rRNA". It matches the Rfam family "Bacterial small subunit ribosomal RNA", at positions 8 to 796 of the family's 1533-position model. The record is from RNAcentral.